RNAcentral lists this ribosomal RNA (436 nucleotides) under Dailognatha quadricollis. RNAcentral describes it as "partial 16S ribosomal RNA". It matches the Rfam family "Bacterial large subunit ribosomal RNA", at positions 1819 to 2523 of the family's 2925-position model. Lineage: Eukaryota; Metazoa; Arthropoda; Insecta; Coleoptera; Tenebrionidae. The record is from RNAcentral.
GUCCUUUAGAUUAUAAUUUAAGGUCUGACCUGCCCAAUGAUUAUUUUAAAUGGCCGCAGUAUUUUGACUGUGCAAAGGUAGCAUAAUCAUUAGUUUUUUAAUUGAAAGCUGGAAUGAAUGGUUUGAUGAAAAAAUAGCUGUCUCAAUAAAAUUUAUUUAGAAUUUUAAUUUUAAGUGAAAAAGCUUAAAUGUUUUAUGAAGACGAGAAGACCCUAUAGAGUUUAAUAUUAUUUUUACUAAUUGUUUUAGGUUUAUUUUUCAUAUUAGUAUUAAUAGUGUUUUGUUGGGGUGACAUAAAAAUUUAAGUAACUUUUUAUUUUUUUUAUACAUUAAUUUAUGGAUUCGUGAUCCUUAUUUUUGGAUUAUAAGAUUAAAUUACCUUAGGGAUAACAGCGUAAUUUCUUUGGAGAGUUCUUAUCGAUAAGGAAGUUUGCGA